GCCUCCGUAGCUCAGUCGGAUAGAGCAGCCGCCUUCUAAGCGGCCGGUCGCAGGUUCGAUCCCUGCCGGGGGCGCCA
RNAcentral lists this transfer RNA (77 nucleotides) under Aquihabitans sp. G128. RNAcentral's name for it is "tRNA-Arg". It matches the Rfam family "tRNA". Rfam says of the family: Transfer RNA (tRNA) molecules are approximately 80 nucleotides in length. Their secondary structure includes four short double-helical elements and three loops (D, anti-codon, and T loops). The record is from RNAcentral. Lineage: Bacteria; Bacillati; Actinomycetota; Acidimicrobiia; Acidimicrobiales; Iamiaceae.